UACAGAGGGUGCAAGCGUUAAUCGGAAUUAUUGGGCGUAAAGCGCGCGCAGGUGGUGGAUUAAGUUGUGGGUAAAAGGCAAUGGCUCAACCAUUGUAAGCCUGCAAAACUGGUUCACUUGAGUGCAGGAGAGGGGAGUGGAAUUCCCGGUGUAGCGGUGGAAUGCGUAGAUAUCGUGAGGAACACCAGAGGCGAAGGCGGCUACCUGGACAAUUGCUGACGCUCAGGCACGAAAGCGUGGGGAGCAAAAGGG
RNAcentral lists this ribosomal RNA (252 nucleotides) under uncultured prokaryote. Its description in RNAcentral is "partial 16S ribosomal RNA". It matches the Rfam family "Bacterial small subunit ribosomal RNA", at positions 524 to 776 of the family's 1533-position model. The record is from RNAcentral.